UGGGGAAUUUUGGACAAUGGGCGCAAGCCUGAUCCAGCCAUGCCGCGUGCGGGAAGAAGGCCUUCGGGUUGUAAACCGCUUUUGUCAGGGAAGAAAUCUUCUGAGUUAAUACCUCGGGAGGAUGACGGUACCUGAAGAAUAAGCACCGGCUAACUACGUGCCAGCAGCCGCGGUAAUACGUAGGGUGCGAGCGUUAAUCGGAAUUACUGGGCGUAAAGCGUGCGCAGGCGGUUUUGUAAGACAGAGGUGAAAUCCCCGGGCUCAACCUGGGAACUGCCUUUGUGACUGCAAGGCUUGAGUGCGGCAGAGGGGGAUGGAAUUCCGCGUGUAGCAGUGAAAUGCGUAGAUAUGCGGAGGAACACCGAUGGCGAAGGCAAUCCCCUGGGCCUGCACUGACGCUCAUGCACGAAAGCGUGGGGAGCAAACAGGAUUAGAUACCCUGGUAGUCCACGCCCUAAACGAUGUCAACUGGUUGUUGGGAAGGUUCCUUCUCAGUAACGUAGCUAACGCGUGAAGUUGACCGCCUGGGGAGUACGGCCGCAAGGUUGAAA
This 551-nucleotide ribosomal RNA is filed under the name uncultured bacterium. RNAcentral's name for it is "partial 16S ribosomal RNA". It matches the Rfam family "Bacterial small subunit ribosomal RNA", at positions 355 to 899 of the family's 1533-position model. The record is from RNAcentral.